This 1247-nucleotide long non-coding RNA is filed under the name Cavia porcellus (domestic guinea pig). RNAcentral describes it as "lncRNA (ENSCPOG00000034194.1)". The record is from RNAcentral. Lineage: Eukaryota; Metazoa; Chordata; Mammalia; Rodentia; Caviidae.
CAGCCUUUCCCUGAUGAAGAGGAGGGUGCUGUGGGCCCCGGACGGUGUGUUCCAGGGGUGCUUCUGCAGAAGACGGAGCAGGAAAUGGAGAUGCAGGCAGGAGCUGACUCAGGGUGACAGGAAGCCAUGGAAGGUGCUGUGUGAAAGAGGAACAUGGCUGUGCCCAUGCCAUGGGGUGAUCCCUGCAGCCAGGCAGGACCCGGGCCAGUGCUGGAGGAGACAGGAGCCCCUUGGAACCUUGAGAUUUAAUGCAUGGUGAGUGGAUGGCUGGGUGAGCCUGGAGCCAUGGAUCAGCCUGAUGCGCCUUCCCUGGGGCCUACCUGUGCUGGUCAUCAGGCUAGCAAGGUUGGCUGGGUCCUCGGCCCUGACGUGUCCACCAGCGUCACUCCGCACUGAGCAGGAAGGAUGCAGACAGAGGCAUUGGGGGGCAGCUAACCAGGCCAGGGUGUGGUGGCCUCUCUGAGGGGUGGUACUGGCUUGGCUCCAGGGUUGCUGAGCCAGCAGGAGGGAGCAUUCCAGACAGGGGAGCAGUCAAGGCAGAGGCUCCAUGUGGAAAGGGGGCUCCUGGCAGCCGCCGCCCGCUUUCAGGGAGCAGGAGCCCCAGCCUGUGCUCUGUCCUCUAGGACCAAGCAAGGAGGCAGCCUCACCUUUCCGGCUGACUGUGUGAGCACAUGGGCCACUGUUUUUAGCCAUGGAACCACUUCCUCCAGCUCCACCAGCUGCCUCCCUGAGUCACCGCCCCUUCCCUGGUGGGGAGGGAAUUAGGCACCUCUGGACCUUCAGGAUGUAGUUUUUGCCAUGUGUGGAAAAAGGGGCAGAGAGGACUGGGCAGAGGGCAUGUGACCCUCCAGGGAGGCUGUUUUUAUUCCAGUUUCAUUCCAGUUAACUGACUUGUUCACAUAGUAUGCAGGAUGGGAGUUCAAAUCUAUCAGUCCUGGUGGAAUCACUGUCCCCAUUUUACAGAUGGGGAAACAGAGGUUUAGAGAGGCAAAUAUACUUGCUCAAGGUCACAAAGCAAGCAAGUAGAGAUGCCAGAAACUGAGUCCUUCACCUUGUCUGUAUAAUAGACAGCCAGUGCCUUGCUAGUGUACUUACCAUGUGCCACUCUGCAAAUAUUAAGUCACGUAAUCCUUCCAACUGACGGCAGUAGGACGGUGAGUGUUCCCAUUUACAGAUGAGGACAACACAGAGAAGGGAAGCAACUCCCCCAAAGUCAGGGCUAGGAAGUAAGGGAGCUGGGAUGUGAC